This 465-nucleotide ribosomal RNA is filed under the name uncultured bacterium. RNAcentral's name for it is "bacterial SSU rRNA". It matches the Rfam family "Bacterial small subunit ribosomal RNA", at positions 338 to 795 of the family's 1533-position model. The record is from RNAcentral.
CCUACGGGGGGCAGCAGUGGGGAAUAUUGGACAAUGGGCGCAAGCCUGAUCCAGCCAUGCCGCGUGGGUGAAGAAGGCCUUCGGGUUGUAAAGCCCUUUUGUUGGGAAAGAAAAGCAAUCGGUUAAUACCCGGUUGUUCUGACGGUACCCAAAGAAUAAGCACCGGCUAACUUCGUGCCAGCAGCCGCGGUAAUACGAAGGGUGCAAGCGUUACUCGGAAUUACUGGGCGUAAAGCGUGCGUAGGUGGUGAUUUAAGUCCGUUGUGAAAGCCCUGGGCUCAACCUGGGAAUUGCAGUGGAUACUGGGUCACUAGAAUGUGGUAGAGGGUAGCGGAAUUCCUGGUGUAGCAGUGAAAUGCGUAGAGAUCAGGAGGAACAUCCGUGGCGAAGGCGGCUACCUGGACCAACAUUGACACUGAGGCACGAAAGCGUGGGGAGCAAACAGGAUUAGAUACCCGGGUAGUC